RNAcentral lists this ribosomal RNA (253 nucleotides) under uncultured bacterium. Its description in RNAcentral is "partial 16S ribosomal RNA". It matches the Rfam family "Bacterial small subunit ribosomal RNA", at positions 524 to 776 of the family's 1533-position model. The record is from RNAcentral.
UACGAAGGGGGCUAGCGUUGCUCGGAAUUACUGGGCGUAAAGCGCACGUAGGCGGCCUAUUAAGUCAGGGGUGAAAUCCCGGGGCUCAACCCCGGAACUGCCUUUGAUACUGGUAGUCUCGAGUCCGGAAGAGGUGAGUGGAAUUCCGAGUGUAGAGGUGAAAUUCGUAGAUAUCGGGAGGAACACCAGUGGCGAAGGCAGCUCGCUGGGACGGUACUGACGCUGAGACGCGAAAGCGUGGGGAGCGAACAGG